UACGUAGGGGGCUAGCGUUGUCCGGAUUUAUUGGGCGUAAAGAGCUCGUAGGCGGUUCAGUAAGUCGGGUGUGAAAACUUUGGGCUUAACCCAAAGCGUGCAUCUGAUACUGCUGUGACUUGAGUUCGGUAGGGGAGUGGGGAAUUCCUAGUGUAGCGGUGAAAUGCGCAGAUAUUAGGAGGAACACCGGUGGCGAAGGCGCCACUCUGGGCCGAAACUGACGCUGAGGAGCGAAAGCAUGGGUAGCAAACAGG
This 254-nucleotide ribosomal RNA is filed under the name uncultured bacterium. RNAcentral's name for it is "partial 16S ribosomal RNA". It matches the Rfam family "Bacterial small subunit ribosomal RNA", at positions 524 to 776 of the family's 1533-position model. The record is from RNAcentral.